This 639-nucleotide ribosomal RNA is filed under the name Conticribra weissflogii. Its description in RNAcentral is "partial Eukaryotic large subunit ribosomal RNA". It matches the Rfam family "Eukaryotic large subunit ribosomal RNA", at positions 45 to 681 of the family's 3401-position model. Lineage: Eukaryota; Bacillariophyta; Thalassiosirophyceae; Thalassiosirales; Thalassiosiraceae. The record is from RNAcentral.
AAUAAGCGGAGGAAAAGAAACUAACAAGGAUUCCCCUAGUAGCGGCGAGCGAAGCGGGAAGAGCUCAAAUUUAUAAUCUGGCACCUUCGGUGUCCGAGUUGUAAUCUCUAGAAGUGUUUUCCGCGUUGGACCGCACACAAGUCUGUUGGAAUACAGCGGCACAGUGGUGAGACCCCCGUUCAUGGUGCGGAUGCCCAAUGCUUUGUGAUACAUUUUCGAAGAGUCGAGUUGUUUGGGAAUGCAGCUCAAAUUGGGUGGUAAAUUCCAUCUAAAGCUAAAUAUUGGCGAGAGACCGAUAGCGAACAAGUACCGUGAGGGAAAGAUGAAAAGCACUUUGGAAAGAGAGUUAACAGUACGUGAAAUUGUUGGAAGGGAAACGCUUGAAGUCAGACUUGCUGUUCGGAGUUCAGCCGCAAGGUGUACUCUCCGAGUUGCAGGCCAGCAUCAGUUUUUCGGGGUGGAAAAUCACGGUUUGAAGGUAGCAGUUUCGGCUGUGUUAUAGCUCUUUACUGGAUUCGUCCUGGGGGACUGAGGAACGCAGCGUGCUUUUUGCAUGGGCUUCGGCCCAUCCACGCUUAGGAUGCGGGUGGAAUGGCUUUAAACGACCCGUCUUGUAACACGGACCAAGGAGUCUAACAU